Molecule: small RNA, 135 nt
Filed under: Roseibium album
Lineage: Bacteria; Pseudomonadati; Pseudomonadota; Alphaproteobacteria; Hyphomicrobiales; Stappiaceae
Description: Labrenzia alba Alphaproteobacterial sRNA ar45
Rfam family: Alphaproteobacterial sRNA ar45
Source: Rfam by way of RNAcentral
GCCCAAAUUCGCACGUGCCCGAGGUCGUUCAUGGGAUGCUACAAAGACAUCUCUUAAGGGGCCGCUGCCACUAAAACCGCCAAGGGGCGGGCAGCAGAUCCGUACGGCUUAAAGCAACGACGUAAGAGGGCUUUU